RNAcentral lists this ribosomal RNA (625 nucleotides) under uncultured bacterium. RNAcentral's name for it is "bacterial SSU rRNA". It matches the Rfam family "Bacterial small subunit ribosomal RNA", at positions 825 to 1450 of the family's 1533-position model. The record is from RNAcentral.
GUCACUCUUGAAGUCUUAGUGGCGCAGCUAACGCACUAAGUAGACCGCCUGGGGAGUACGGCCGCAAGGUUAAAACUCAAAUGAAUUGACGGGGGCCCGCACAAGCGGUGGAGCAUGUGGUUUAAUUCGGCGCAACGCGAAGAACCUUACCUGGCCUUGACAUGCAGAGAACUUUCCAGAGAUGGAUUGGUGCCUUCGGGAACUCUGACACAGGUGCUGCAUGGCCGUCGUCAGCUCGUGUCGUGAGAUGUUGGGUUAAGUCCCGUAACGAGCGCAACCCCUAUCCCUAGUUGCUAGCAGUUCGGCUGAGAACUCUAGGGAGACUGCCGGUGACAAACCGGAGGAAGGUGGGGAUGACGUCAGGUCAUCAUGGCCCUUACGGCCAGGGCUACACACGUGCUACAAUGGUGCGUACAGAGGGCUGCAAACCCGCGAGGGGGAGCUAAUCUCACAAAACGCAUCGUAGUCCGGAUCGGAGUCUGCAACUCGACUCCGUGAAGUCGGAAUCGCUAGUAAUCGCGAAUCAGAAUGUCGCGGUGAAUACGUUCCCGGGCCUUGUACACACCGCCCGUCACACCAUGGGAGUNGAGUGCACCAGAAGUGGUUAGUCUAACCUCCGGGAGGA